CCUACGGGUGGCAGCAGUGAGGAAUAUUGGUCAAUGGACGCGAGCCUGAACCAGCCAAGUAGCGUGAAGGAUGACUGCCCUCCGGGUUGUAAACUUCUUUUAUAAGGGAAUAAAGUGAGGCACGUGUGCCUUUUUGUGUGUGCUUUAUGAAUAAGAAUCGGCUCACUCCGUGCCCGCAGCCGCGGUAUUACGGAGGAUCCGAGCGUUAUCCGGAUUUAUUGGGUUUAAAGGGAGCGUAGAUGGGCUGUUAAGUCAGUUGUGAAAGUUUGCGGCUCAACCGUAAAAUUGCAAUUGAUACUGGCAGUCUUGAGUACAGUCGAGGAAGGCGGAAUUCGUGGUGUAGCGGUGAAAUGCUUAGAUAUCACGAAGAACUCCGAUUGCGAAGGCAGCUUACUAAACUGCCACUGACAUUGAGGCUCGAAAGUGUGGGUAUCAAACAGGAUUAGAUACCCGAGUAGUC
This 460-nucleotide ribosomal RNA is filed under the name uncultured bacterium. RNAcentral's name for it is "partial 16S ribosomal RNA". It matches the Rfam family "Bacterial small subunit ribosomal RNA", at positions 338 to 795 of the family's 1533-position model. The record is from RNAcentral.